AGGGUUCGAUUCUGGCUCAGGAUGAACGCUAGCGACAGGCUAACACAUGCAAGUCGAGGGGCAGCAUAAAAGUAGCAAUACUUGGUGGCGACCGGCGCACGGGUGAGUAACGCGUAUGCAACCUACCUAUCAGAGGGGAAUAACCCGGCGAAAGUCGGACUAAUACCGCAUAAAACAGGGGCACCGCAUGGUGAUAUUUGUUAAAGAAAUUCGCUGAUAGAUGGGCAUGCGUUCCAUUAGGUAGUUGGUGAGGUAACGGCUCACCAAGCCGACGAUGGAUAGGGGAACUGAGAGGUUGGUCCCCCACACUGGUACUGAGACACGGACCAGACUCCUACGGGAGGCAGCAGUGAGGAAUAUUGGUCAAUGGGCGGGAGCCUGAACCAGCCAAGUCGCGUGAAGGAAAGAAGGAUCUAUGGUUCGUAAACUUCUUUUGCAGAGGAAUAAAGUGCAGGACGUGUCCUGUUUUGUAUGUACCCUGAGAAUAAGGAUCGGCUAACUCCGUGCCAGCAGCCGC
This 517-nucleotide ribosomal RNA is filed under the name uncultured bacterium. Its description in RNAcentral is "bacterial SSU rRNA". It matches the Rfam family "Bacterial small subunit ribosomal RNA", at positions 8 to 518 of the family's 1533-position model. The record is from RNAcentral.